This 253-nucleotide ribosomal RNA is filed under the name uncultured bacterium. Its description in RNAcentral is "partial 16S ribosomal RNA". It matches the Rfam family "Bacterial small subunit ribosomal RNA", at positions 524 to 776 of the family's 1533-position model. The record is from RNAcentral.
UACGGGGGGGGCAAGCGUUGUUCGGAAUUACUGGGCGUAAAGGGCCAGUAGGCGGCCAACUAAGUCGGAUGUGAAAUCCCCAGGCUCAACUUGGGAACUGCAUCCGAUACUGGAUGGCUUGAAUUCGGGAGAGGGAUGCAGAAUUCCAGGUGUAGCGGUGAAAUGCGUAGAUAUCAGGAGGAACACCGGUGGCGAAGGCGGCUCUCUGGACCUGUCCUGACGCUCAGGCGCGAAAGCUAGGGGAGCAAACAGG